UACGUAGGGUGCAAGCGUUGUCCGGAAUUAUUGGGCGUAAAGAGCUCGUAGGCGGCGUGUCGCGUCUGCCGUGAAAGCCCAUGGCUUAACUGUGGGUCUGCGGUGGAUACGGGCAGGCUGGAGGCUGGUAGGGGCAAGCGGAAUUCCUGGUGUAGCGGUGAAAUGCGCAGAUAUCAGGAGGAACACCGGUGGCGAAGGCGGCUUGCUGGGCCAGUUCUGACGCUGAGGAGCGAAAGCGUGGGGAGCGAACAGG
Molecule: ribosomal RNA, 253 nt
Filed under: uncultured bacterium
Lineage: Bacteria
Description: partial 16S ribosomal RNA
Rfam family: Bacterial small subunit ribosomal RNA
Source: RNAcentral